GACGAACGCUGGCGGCGUGCUUAACACAUGCAAGUCGAACGGAAAGGCCCUGCUUUUGUGGGGUGCUCGAGUGGCGAACGGGUGAGUAACACGUGAGUAACCUGCCCUUGACUUUGGGAUAACUUCAGGAAACUGGGGCUAAUACCGGAUAGGAGCUCCUGCUGCAUGGUGGGGGUUGGAAAGUUUCGGCGGUUGGGGAUGGACUCGCGGCUUAUCAGCUUGUUGGUGGGGUAGUGGCUUACCAAGGCUUUGACGGGUAGCCGGCCUGAGAGGGUGACCGGCCACAUUGGGACUGAGAUACGGCCCAGACUCCUACGGGAGGCAGCAGUGGGGAAUAGUGCACAAUGGGCGGAAGCCUGAUGCAGCAACGCCGCGUGCGGGAUGACGGCCUUCGGGUUGUAAACCGCUUUCGCCUGUGACGAAGCGUGAGUGACGGUAAUGGGUAAAGAAGAACCGGAUAACUACGUG
This 468-nucleotide ribosomal RNA is filed under the name uncultured bacterium. RNAcentral describes it as "partial 16S ribosomal RNA". It matches the Rfam family "Bacterial small subunit ribosomal RNA", at positions 28 to 507 of the family's 1533-position model. The record is from RNAcentral.